GAUGAACGCUGGCGGCGUGCCUAAUACAUGCAAGUCGAGCGAACAGAUGAGGAGCUUGCUCCUCUGACGUUAGCGGCGGACGGGUGAGUAACACGUGGAUAACCUACCUAUAAGACUGGGAUAACUUCGGGAAACCGGAGCUAAUACCGGAUAAUAUAUUGAACCGCAUGGUUCAAUAGUGAAAGACGGUUUUGCUGUCACUUAUAGAUGGAUCCGCGCCGCAUUAGCUAGUUGGUAAGGUAACGGCUUACCAAGGCAACGAUGCGUAGCCGACCUGAGAGGGUGAUCGGCCACACUGGAACUGAGACACGGUCCAGACUCCUACGGGAGGCAGCAGUAGGGAAUCUUCCGCAAUGGGCGAAAGCCUGACGGAGCAACGCCGCGUGAGUGAUGAAGGUCUUCGGAUCGUAAAACUCUGUUAUUAGGGAAGAACAAAUGUGUAAGUAACUAUGCACGUCUUGACGGUACCUAAGCAGAAAACCACGGCUAACUACGU
This 496-nucleotide ribosomal RNA is filed under the name uncultured bacterium. RNAcentral describes it as "partial 16S ribosomal RNA". It matches the Rfam family "Bacterial small subunit ribosomal RNA", at positions 28 to 506 of the family's 1533-position model. The record is from RNAcentral.